Homo sapiens (human) is the source of this 796-nucleotide long non-coding RNA. RefSeq lists it as uncharacterized. The record is from RefSeq and is a predicted model, not a curated record. Lineage: Eukaryota; Metazoa; Chordata; Mammalia; Primates; Hominidae. The transcript has 3 exons.
AGGAGUGAGCACUAAUAAUAGUACUGGAAAUGAAGAAUUAUGUAUAGUUGAGGUCAUACUGGAUUGGAGUGAACUCUAAACACACUGACUUGUGUUAUUUCGGGGGCGGUGUGAAGACACAGGAAUACGACAUAACAACAGAUACAGAGCCUGGAGUAAUGACAGUACAAGUCAAGGAACACCAAGGAUCACCAGCUGCCACCCAACCCAGGAAGAGGAUUUUGCUCCUCAAGUCAUUGUACUUUGGUACCUACGAAUUUCAACCUUGUCCUUCAUACCCCGUGGGUGUGAAGAUUCCUGGCAGGACUCUAUUUCCACGCUGCAACUAGGGGAAGUUUAGGACAAAACACUUCUGUGUGGUGAUAUGUGGAAAGGUCCUUAGCUGAUCCAAGCAGUGGGACAUGAAGGGGAGAGUAGAAAUGUCACCAGCACCAGUAAGGACAUGCCUAGUACAGAUGAAAAAUGGGAUCAAGAUCAUAUGACCUUUGUCCUCACCUUUAAAAGAUAACUCAAUGACAGUAGAUAUAUCAUUGAUGACAGCCCUCUGAUGACAGCCCUCAAAAAAUGCAUCACCAAGUCAGAUCUCUUUCACAGACUCCUGACUCAGACUUCCUGACAUUUCCAUUGAGAUUUCUAAUAGAUAUAUGAAACUCAAAUGUCCAAGAUGAACAUCUAAACUCCCCCCAUACCCAAAUAUCAGCUCCAAAUUUAGCUUUCCCCAUUUCAGUUGAUAAUAACCCAUCCUUCCAGGGGCUCAUGCCAAAACUCUGGUCUCCUCCCUAACUCUUCACUCUCA